This is a long non-coding RNA of Solenopsis invicta (red fire ant), 426 nucleotides long. RefSeq lists it as uncharacterized. The record is from RefSeq and is a predicted model, not a curated record. NCBI's taxonomy places the organism in Eukaryota, Metazoa, Arthropoda, Insecta, Hymenoptera, Formicidae. The transcript has 3 exons.
CAAUCGCUGAAACCAUUAUAAUGCAUCCUAACUGUACGAGCCUUCUUGCAAUUCUUGCCUGCUUCAUCAUGGUAUCGCGCUCCUCUUCUGUCUUCUUCUUGAUCCAAUCUGCUAUCACCAUGCUUACCACCAAGAACAAGAACAGCUUCAGCACCGUUAAACCUCAUUACCACAUGGACAAAGUAUCUUAAGAACGUCUUUGAAGGAACGAAUUACAAGGCAAAAGAUCGGCAGAUCAUGUAGAUACAUGUAACCCAAUAUGCAACAUGGAGUUUUUCUAAAAUAUUCUACCAUAAUCUUUCUCCUUCUUUUUCAUUUUAAAUUACUAGAAUGCUUCCGCUAACAGCAAGCAGCAAGAAAUCGAAUUAACUUGCUUCAAACAGGUCUGACUACUAGUGAAACUUUUUCAAAUAAUAUUCCGAGGAC